AGUGAACGCUGGCGGUAGGCCUAACACAUGCAAGUCGAACGGCAGCACAGUAGAGCUUGCUCUCUGGGUGGCGAGUGGCGGACGGGUGAGGAAUACAUCGGAAUCUACUCUGUCGUGGGGGAUAACGGAGGGAAACUUACGCUAAUACCGCAUACGACCUACGGGUGAAAGCAGGGGACCUUCGGGCCUUGCGCGAUUGAAUGAGCCGAUGUCGGCUUAGCUAGUUGGCGGGCUAAAGGCCCACCAAGGCGACGAGCCGUAGCUGGUCUGAGAGGAUGAUCAGCCACACUGGAACUGAGACACGGUCCAGACUCCUACGGGAGGCAGCAGUGGGGAAUAUUGGACAAUGGGCGCAAGCCUGAUCCAGCCAGACCGCGUGGGUGAAGAAGGCCUUCGGGUUGUAAAGCCCUUUUGUUGGGAAAGAAAUCCAGCUGGCUAAUACCCGGUUGGGAUGACGGUACCCAAAGAAUAAGCACCGGCUAACUUCGUGCCAGCAGCCGCGGUAA
RNAcentral lists this ribosomal RNA (506 nucleotides) under uncultured bacterium. Its description in RNAcentral is "partial 16S ribosomal RNA". It matches the Rfam family "Bacterial small subunit ribosomal RNA", at positions 29 to 523 of the family's 1533-position model. The record is from RNAcentral.